Molecule: ribosomal RNA, 497 nt
Filed under: uncultured bacterium
Lineage: Bacteria
Description: bacterial SSU rRNA
Rfam family: Bacterial small subunit ribosomal RNA
Source: RNAcentral
AGUUUGAUCAUGGCUCAGGAUGAACGCUAGCGGCAGGCUUAACACAUGCAAGUCGAGGGGUAGAGGAAGCUUGCUUCCUUGAGACCGGCGCACGGGUGCGUAACGCGUAUGCAAUCUACCUUAUACAGGGGGAUAGCCCAGAGAAAUUUGGAUUAAUACCCCAUAGUAUAAUUGAAUGGCAUCAUUUAAUUAUUAAAGUUCCAACGGUAUAAGAUGAGCAUGCGUCCCAUUAGCUAGUUGGUGUGGUAACGGCACACCAAGGCGACGAUGGUAGGGGUCCUGAGAGGGAGAUCCCCCACACUGGUACUGAGACACGGACCAGACUCCUACGGGAGGCAGCAGUGAGGAAUAUUGGUCAAUGGGCGCAAGCCUGAACCAGCCAUGCCGCGUGCAGGAUGACGGUCCUAUGGAUUGUAAACUGCUUUUGUACAGGAAGAAACACUCCCUCGUGAGGGAGCUUGACGGUACUGUAAGAAUAAGGAUCGGCUAACUCCGUG